GACGAACGCUGGCGGCGUGCUUAACACAUGCAAGUCGAACGGAAAGGCCCUGCUUUUGUGGGGUGCUCGAGUGGCGAACGGGUGAGUAACACGUGAGUAACCUGCCCUUGACUUUGGGAUAACUUCAGGAAACUGGGGCUAAUACCGGAUAGGAGCUCCUGCUGCAUGGUGGGGGUUGGAAAGUUUCGGCGGUUGGGGAUGGACUCGCGGCUUAUCAGCUUGUUGGUGGGGUAGUGGCUUACCAAGGCUUUGACGGGUAGCCGGCCUGAGAGGGUGACCGGCCACAUUGGGACGGAGAUACGGCCCAGACUCCUACGGGAGGCAGCAGUGGGGAAUAUUGCACAAUGGGCGGAAGCCUGAUGCAGCAACGCCGCGUGCGGGAUGACGGCCUUCGGGUGGUAAACCGCUUUCGCCUGUGACGAAGCGUGAGUGACGGGAAUGGGUAAAGAAGCACCGGCUAACUACGU
Molecule: ribosomal RNA, 467 nt
Filed under: uncultured bacterium
Lineage: Bacteria
Description: partial 16S ribosomal RNA
Rfam family: Bacterial small subunit ribosomal RNA
Source: RNAcentral